Molecule: ribosomal RNA, 499 nt
Filed under: uncultured bacterium
Lineage: Bacteria
Description: partial 16S ribosomal RNA
Rfam family: Bacterial small subunit ribosomal RNA
Source: RNAcentral
GACGAACGCUGGCGGCAUGCCUAAUACAUGCAAGUCGAGCGAAGUUUUUCUGGUGCUUGCACUAGAAAAACUUAGCGGCGAACGGGUGAGUAACACGUAAAGAACCUGCCUCAUAGACUGGGACAACUAUUGGAAACGAUAGCUAAUACCGGAUAACAGUAUUUCUCGCAUGAGAGAUAUUUAAAAGUUGGUUAUGCUAACACUAUGAGAUGGCUUUGCGGUGCAUUAGCUAGUUGGUGGGGUAAAGGCCCACCAAGGCGACGAUGCAUAGCCGACCUGAGAGGGUGAUCGGCCACACUGGGACUGAGACACGGCCCAGACUCCUACGGGAGGCAGCAGUAGGGAAUCUUCCGCAAUGGGCGAAAGCCUGACGGAGCAACGCCGCGUGAGUGAAGAAGGAUUUCGGUUCGUAAAGCUCUGUUGUUAGGGAAGAAUGGAUAUGUAGUAACUAUACAUGUAAGAGACGGUACCUAACCAGAAAGCCACGGCUAACUACGUG